This 103-nucleotide microRNA precursor is filed under the name Chlorocebus sabaeus (green monkey). RNAcentral's name for it is "miRNA (ENSCSAG00000022918.1)". Lineage: Eukaryota; Metazoa; Chordata; Mammalia; Primates; Cercopithecidae. The record is from RNAcentral.
CUACUUAGGUUGGUGCAAAAGUAAUCGCGGGUUUUGCCAUUACUUUUACAUUACUUUUAAUACCAAAAACCGAGAUUACUUUUGCACCAGCCUAAUACUUCUA